Molecule: ribosomal RNA, 274 nt
Filed under: uncultured bacterium
Lineage: Bacteria
Description: partial 16S ribosomal RNA
Rfam family: Bacterial small subunit ribosomal RNA
Source: RNAcentral
AUACGGAGGGUGCAAGCGUUACUCGGAAUCACUGGGCGUAAAGCGCGCGCAGGCGGCUAUUUAAGUUGGAUGUGAAAGCCUACGGCUCAACCGUAGAACUGCAUCCAGAACUAUUUAGCUAGAGUGUGGGAGAGGAAGAUGGAAUUAGUUGUGUAGGGGUAAAAUCCGUAGAGAUAACUAGGAAUACCAAAAGCGAAGGCAAUCUUCUGGAACAUUACUGACGCUGAGGCGCGAAAGCGUGGGGAGCAAACAGGAUUAGAAACCCUAGUAGUCC